Molecule: unclassified non-coding RNA, 240 nt
Filed under: Hevea brasiliensis (rubber tree)
Lineage: Eukaryota; Viridiplantae; Streptophyta; Magnoliopsida; Malpighiales; Euphorbiaceae
Source: RNAcentral
UUUGGUUGUGACCAGGUCACAACAUAUGCACCUACAGAAUCCUCUAAUUGCAAGAAUUGAGGCUCAUUCUAAGAAAAGAAGAAAAGGUACAUGACAGAACAGCAGAGACAGCAUGGGUGAAACUUAGUAGUUAGAGAUGUCAAUAACUUUGGAGGCAAGGAAAGAUUAAAUAAGUCAUUUCCACCAACUGAUCAAAGGGUAGAAUAGGUGUGUCACCAAGGCAUUAACUUUACACUGGAA